This 468-nucleotide ribosomal RNA is filed under the name uncultured bacterium. Its description in RNAcentral is "partial 16S ribosomal RNA". It matches the Rfam family "Bacterial small subunit ribosomal RNA", at positions 28 to 507 of the family's 1533-position model. The record is from RNAcentral.
GACGAACGCUGGCGGCGUGCUUAACACAUGCAAGUCGAACGGAAAGGCCCUGCUUUUGUGGGGUGCUCGAGUGGCGAACGGGUGAGUAACACGUGAGUAACCUGCCCUUGACUUUGGGAUAACUUCAGGAAACUGGGGCUAAUACCGGAUAGGAGCUCCUGCUGCGUGGGGGGGGUUGGAAAGUUUCGGCGGUUGGGGAUGGACUCGCGGCUUAUCAGCUUGUUGGUGGGGUAGUGGCUUACCAAGGCUUUGACGGGUAGCCGGCCUGAGAGGGUGACCGGCCACAUUGGGCCUGAGAUACGGCCCAGACUCCUACGGGAGGCAGCAGUGGGGAAUAUUGCACAAUGGGCGGAAGCCUGAUGCAGCAACGCCGCGUGCGGGAUGACGGCCUUCGGGUUGUAAACCGCUUUCGCCUGUGACGAAGCGUGAGUGACGGUAAUGGGUAAAGAAGCACCGGCUAACUACGUG